UAUAUUGUUUUCGAUUUGGGUUUGUUAUGCUUUACUAAAGAUUUCAGGUCCAGUGAGAAUAAGUUUGGCUUUCUUCUUGCGUUAUUCCUUCGCGACCUCAGCCAACAAGUUGCAGAGAUUAGAGAUGACGAUCACCUAUCUGUAACGUCUCAACUUCGCAUUGACGCCUAAUAUGCUCUUAGCCUCUACAUAAUUAACCCACUCUCCCCAAUCUGCAGCAUUCAAUUAAUCUCAUCAAAUCCUCAAAGUAACCUACAAAAGCUUCGGGUACAAAGUAACCUACAAAACCUGACAGAGAGAUAAGUAGAUUUACUUUUACGCUUUGGUAUUUCUGAAGAAGUUAGCUCUUAUUCUUUGAAACUCUUCACUGUUCUUAAUAUGGUAUGAAUAUGGUGAUAAAGUGAGAAUUUUUGAGGAAUCAAUAGACGAAUUUCAUAAAUUUUUAUGUUUUUUUUUUUCGGGUUUGUGGUCUGAUGAUUGUCAGAUUCAUUGACAUAAGAUUGAUUGGGUUGCUUUGAACCAAUCACUUUUUUCUUAG
RNAcentral lists this long non-coding RNA (538 nucleotides) under Brassica rapa (field mustard). Its description in RNAcentral is "long non-coding RNA (BRAP_LNC002341)". Lineage: Eukaryota; Viridiplantae; Streptophyta; Magnoliopsida; Brassicales; Brassicaceae. The record is from RNAcentral.